Molecule: non-coding RNA, 104 nt
Filed under: uncultured Nitzschia
Lineage: Eukaryota; Bacillariophyta; Bacillariophyceae; Bacillariales; Bacillariaceae
Source: RNAcentral
CACCAAUUUCAAAAAAUGAAUAUAACAAACAAACAAAAAAACGGAGGAGUCGUAUCAGGGACUUGGUUUUUCUUUCGUUUUGGCUUUUGCUUCUUGCUUGUUCG